UACGGAGGGGGCUAGCGUUGUUCGGAAUCACUGGGCGUAAAGCGCACGUAGGCGGACGUGUCAGUCAGGGGUGAAAUCCCGGAGCUCAACUUCGGAACUGCCUUUGAUACAGCACGUCUUGAGUCCGGAAGAGGUGGGUGGAAUUCCUAGUGUAGAGGUGAAAUUCGUAGAUAUUAGGAAGAACACCGGUGGCGAAGGCGGCUAUCUGGCCCGUAAUUGACGCUGAGGCGCGAAAGCGUGGGGAGCAAACAGG
Molecule: ribosomal RNA, 253 nt
Filed under: uncultured bacterium
Lineage: Bacteria
Description: partial 16S ribosomal RNA
Rfam family: Bacterial small subunit ribosomal RNA
Source: RNAcentral